ACGGACUCAUCAUUCCAGCCAAUCAGCAGCAGACCCUCCCAGACCCUCCCACCUCCUGAACAGCAUCCAUUUUGAAGCUGCAUUCUUAGUGAGCUGUCCAGGAGGUGGGAGGGUCUGGGAGGGAGGGUCUGCUGCUGAUUGGCUGGAAUGAUGAGUCCG
This is a non-coding RNA of Pelobates cultripes (western spadefoot toad), 159 nucleotides long. NCBI's taxonomy places the organism in Eukaryota, Metazoa, Chordata, Amphibia, Anura, Pelobatidae. The record is from the annotation of a GenBank genome assembly.